CACCGCUGGGAUUCGAACCCAGGAUCUCCUGUUUACUAGACAGGCGCUUUAACCAACUAAGCCACGGCGCCUCGUGGCGACACCUAGAAAAUUUGACAUCAAGAAUAUCCGAGUCGGCUACUAUUCAUGACCUCAGUGAACUUGUUCCUAUAUUAAACACAUUUAGACUUUGAAAUCUCGUAACUUCUCCGUAAUUCUGAUUCACGUUGGCAUAUGAUCCUUCUAAACACACACACACACACACACACACACUUUUUAAGCUAUUUAUGAGUUUAAAUAUAUUUCGUCAAGUAACUUUAUCUCUGCCAGUUUUGAUGUAGUACACAAUUCAGAAUUUCGACCAUAGAGCUCCGUGAAAAACAACUGCAUUACUGCGGUUGUUUAUAUAACGCACGAAGCUAAAGCUAAUGCUAAUAGUGCAAACCAGCAAAUAAAUCUCCAGCCACGAGGUGGCAGCGCGUCCUACGAGACCAAGAGCGAGCGGAACAUGACGUUUUAAACAGUGAACCUACAGUAUAUCACAGUCUGAGGCACUGGAAAUUUUAAACAGUGAAAACUGUCGAAAUCGCGAUUAACCAAUCUCAUACUCAACACUCACAACUGAUACAAUGCAGCCACACCAUACAAGCUAAAUUCUGAGUCACUGUGGUUCUUUCCAUGUAUGUAACUUUCACUGAUGUCGCCAUCCCAGAAAUAGGGUCUAACAGAGAGAUAAAGAAAACCACGAAUUAUUCAUUCAACCGCUUCAGCAACAGCAUCGUUCAGGAAUUUCGUGUUCUCAUUCUAACAGUUUUCACAUUCUGUUUAUUCACCGGCGCGAUCUGUUCUUUAUGGAAGCUUGAAUCAUCACAGAAGAAAGUGAUAGGGUUCACCUCAAACACAUGUUUUAUGUCACAUGGCCAAAAACUAAAAGUCCAAGCCAUGGUUUUCCAAGUGAUGUAAUAUCCUGUAAACCACAAUGCCCCAGAGUUUGGCUUUUGCAGAACAGCAUGUCUUCUGUAUACAGCAUCUUAAGGGUCCCACUUUUUCCAUUCUGUCUUGAACACACACACCAAAGACCAUGUGAAUCACUGUGGUCUCAUAGAGUCAUCUUCCUGAGCACUGGGAAAAUACAGAUGAACACUUCCUGAACCAUCCCAGACAGUGACUGUGGGGAAACACACUGUAUCAAGCACCAGUUAAUGUGGCUGUGGAUGUGCGUGCAGAUGAGGAGAAGAUUCUGACCACAGUUUGUACUCUGACUUUAACCACAGCUUCCAUUCCUAGGCACCGCAGCCACGAAACAGAAUAUAAACUCAUCAUCAGUUGAGGCUGCAAAUCAUCACUUUCUAUAGUUGGUCAUCCACACAAGUGUCAGAGCAGCAUCUAGGCAUGCUCCUGAUGAGAUAAUGGAUGGUAUCCUUGGGAUCUUCUGCCAGACCUGGAUCAGGGCAUCAGUGAGCUCCUGGACAAUCUGUGGUGUUACUUGGUGGCUGUGGAUGCUCCGAUACAUAACAGAGGAAUUCAUCCCAGUACCUGAGAGCAGUAAGGGUAGCAUUGGAUAGCACGUCUUUGUGGCCCUCCCAAGUACAUUCCUCCCCAGACCACCCACCGCCAAACUGAUCAUGCUGGAUGAUGUUGCAGGCAACAUAACAUUCCCCAUGGCAUCUACAGACUCUUUAACUUCUGUCACAUGUGCUCAGUGUGAACCUGCUCUCAAGAGAAUGGGGCGCCAGCAGUGGGCCGGCCAAUUCUGGUGUACUCUGGAAAAUGCCAAUCGAGUUGCAUGCUGCUGGGCUGUGAGCACAGGUCCCACUAGAGGAUGUCAGGCUCCCAUGCCACCCGUAUGAAAUCUGAUUCUGACAGUUUAAUCAGAAACAUGCACACCAGUAGCCUACUGGAGGUCAUUUUGUAAGGCUCUGGCAAUGCUCCUCCUGUUCCUCUUUACACAAAGGAGCAGAUACUGGUCCUGCUGCUGAAUUGUUGCAUUUAUACGGUCCUGUCCAGCGCUCCUUGUAAUGGCCCAUCAUCUGGUAUCUCCUUCAUUCUCUUGAAACUUGACUUGGUUAUAUAAUAAAUAAGCUUCUUGAAAACUGGGUUUAAUUAAAUGGGAUGAUUUGCCAGAUGUUUAUUUGUGCAAUAUGAAAUGAGAAAAACAAGAUACUUGGCAAGUAAAUGAGGCAAGAGGUGAUGUUCAAGAUUUCUAGGCUAUGAAGUUAAAUAAAGGCUAUGAACAUCUGAAAAGCAUUUCACUUUAAUAAUUUCUUGUUCAUUAUCACUUUAUCACUCAUCAGCACUUUUUAGUCUAGAAUAGAUUCCUUAAAUCCACAUAAAUCAAGAUAUUUCACUUUGAAGAGCCUUAAUCAGCAUGGCUGGCAUUUUCCAUGGACACUACACAGAAGUUAAGCAAGUUUCUGAUCAGUCAGAAUGUAGCAUUCAAUUCAAUUCAAGUUUAUUUGUAUAGCGCUUUUACAAUACAAAUCGUUGCAAAGCAGCUUUACAGGAAAUUAAGUUUCUACAAUAUAUUUAUAUAUUGUAGAAACUUAAUAUAUUUAACUUAUGGCAAAAUUUGUUAAUUCUAUAUGUUGUGUGAGGGUUGGCAUCCUCUGAAGUCCUGAGGUACAGUUAGAAAUACAUCAGCAGAAUCUUGCUUAUAGACAUAGGGAGUAGAUGUAGGUUCAUAUUUUGCGUUUUCAUUUUAUUCGUUAAGUUCAUAUUGAGUUCUGUAAAUGUCUAAAUGAAUUAUACUCUUCAAUGGCUCUGAUAUACUGAUUUCAUGUUUCUGAGAAAAGAUAUCUCCCUUUCUCAACGGCAAGAUGCUCCCACAUUUGUGUUCCACUAGGUUCUCCUCAGCCACAUCUGGUG
Onychostoma macrolepis is the source of this 2844-nucleotide long non-coding RNA. RefSeq lists it as uncharacterized. Lineage: Eukaryota; Metazoa; Chordata; Actinopteri; Cypriniformes; Cyprinidae. The transcript is spliced from 7 exons. The record is from RefSeq and is a predicted model, not a curated record.